CUUGUUGUAUUCAAAACCUGCUGAUAGUUCAUGAUGACCUGAUGCCAGUGUCCCAGUGAUAGAGGAACUAACUAUUUCCUUGUGUAAACAGCUAAACACACUGGACUAUGCGAUGAUACAUGUAACAACGUUAUGAUGGUCUGUUAGUACUUGUAUUUGAAGCAGUUGCUUUAGAAGACGAGCUCGACAGUUUUGGACUGUAGUUUGCAGUUGACUUCACAAUUCAACCAUCAUCAAAUCAUGGCCGAUGGACAACUUCAUCAGGGACACAUUGAUCCGCGCUUAGUGGAUAUUGUUGAUGAAGAAUGGGCUAAGGACUCGUUGCCAAAAGAUGAAAUACCCACGCCUGAAAUUGAUCUUCCCAUCGAAAUAGAAAGUCAUGCCAUAAUUCCGGGUCCAUCUCAACGUGAGUUGGAGCGCGAAUGGAGUGAGAAAACUAGACCACUUCAGAACUUCCGGUGAUAGCUGCACUAGUAUUUCUAGGUGUGGAGUGCCUGUACAUAAAGCUGUAACAUACUGUACAAGUUGUUUUUGUAUCUCCAUUACUGAGUUUGUAUAAAUUGUUGUAUGUGUUGUCCAUUUGUAUACAUAUGUACAGUGUACAUUACGUUGCUUGAGUCGCAUUUUUAGUGGCUUUGAUUUUUUACAUUUGUAAUCAUGCUGGCUGUUGUUCCCUUCUAUGUUGUGCAUUGUUGAUGUCUUCGAAAAAUUAGUUUUGGCUGAUGUGCAGCAUCUGUGGAAGUUUUUCCAAUACACCGUGUUUUUUGGCCUGGAUUAGUCGGGCUUGCAAAAGUAAAUCUACGGUAUCUUGA
Long non-coding RNA from Sycon ciliatum, 812 nucleotides. RefSeq lists it as uncharacterized. NCBI's taxonomy places the organism in Eukaryota, Metazoa, Porifera, Calcarea, Leucosolenida, Sycettidae. The record is from RefSeq and is a predicted model, not a curated record. The transcript has 4 exons.